Molecule: ribosomal RNA, 486 nt
Filed under: uncultured bacterium
Lineage: Bacteria
Description: partial 16S ribosomal RNA
Rfam family: Bacterial small subunit ribosomal RNA
Source: RNAcentral
AUUGAACGCUGGCGGCAUGCCUUACACAUGCAAGUCGAACGGCAGCACGGGUGCUUGCACCUGGUGGCGAGUGGCGAACGGGUGAGUAAUACAUCGGAACAUGUCCUGUAGUGGGGGAUAGCCCGGCGAAAGCCGGAUUAAUACCGCAUACGAUCCACGGAUGAAAGCGGGGGGCCUUCGGGCCUCGCGCUAUAGGGUUGGCAGAUGGCUGAUUAGCUAGUUGGUGGGGUAAAGGCCUACCAAGGCGACGAUCAGUAGCUGGUCUGAGAGGACGACCAGCCACACUGGGACUGAGACACGGCCCAGACUCCUACGGGAGGCAGCAGUGGGGAAUUUUGGACAAUGGGCGAAAGCCUGAUCCAGCAAUGCCGCGUGUGUGAAGAAGGCCUUCGGGUUGUAAAGCACUUUUGUCCGGAAAGAAAUCCUUGACUCUAAUACAGUCGGGGGAUGACGGUACCGGAAGAAUAAGCACCGGCUAACUACGUG